GAGCAUCCGACACACUUGACCGCCGCCUCAGACCCACGUGACCACAUAGCUAGCUCCGUGGAAAGGCCUCAGUACAGCCUCGGUCUCUCCUGGAAACUGUGUCGGGAUUUUGAGUCUCUGUGCUUGUGAAUUCUGUUUUGGAUAAUAUUGGUGCAAUUGUUGGACAAAAUGACUUGCUGUGGUAUUAAUUUCACUAAUAGAGCGUCCAAGGAGUCUCCACUUCAUUUUUUUCGGGAAGGACCUGAUUGGUGUCCAGAACCUGAUGAAGAAGCACCAGGCUCUGCAGGCUGAGAUCACAGGUCAUGAACCUCGCAUCAAGGCUGUCACCCAGAAAGGAGAGACCAUGGUGGAAGAAGGUCACUUCGCUGGUGAGGAAGUGAAGACUAAACUGUGGGAGCUUCAUGGACGUUGGGACACGCUGAAGGCCAAGGCGUCCCAGAGGAGGCAGGACCUGGAGGACUCUCUGCAGGCCCAGCAGUACUUUGCGGAUGCUAAUGAGGCCGAGUCCUGGAUGAGGGAGAAGGAGCCCAUCGUUGGAAGUCCAGACUAAGGGAAAGACGAGGACUUGGCCGAGGCUCUCCUGAAGAAGCACGAGGCCCUGAUGUCGGACCUGUCGGCUUACGGCAGCAGCAUCCAGGCCCUGAAGGAGCAGGCCCAGUCCUGCAGGCAACAAGGUGAUCAGCAGGUGCUUUUGUCCUGCAGGACCUGAAGGCCAACGAGUCCCACCUGAGGGACAUCAACAAGGUGGCAUCUGAACUGGAGUCAGAAGGUCUGAUGGCUGAGGAGGCUCCUAUGGUUCAGGCUCAGGUGAGCGUCACCUGUCUGCAGCAGCUGGUCCCUCUCACUUCCUGGUUUAACUCUGCUCGUCUCUGUUUGUAGCAACAAGAACAUCUGGGUUCUGCUCCUGGAAAGGUGCAUGUUGUCCUCCGCCUCAACCAGAACCAGACGUGGUGUUUAUGUUACCACUCAUUUGUUUGUUUGUUUACAGGAUGAAGCCGACUCUAACACGGCGUCACCCUGGAAGGUGAGUUCAUUCAGCUGAUCAGAGGUCACCUCUGAUGGCAGCAGUCACGGCCGACCGUGCUGACAUCACACAGGAAUUCAGGUGACCCGGCAGGCACCAGGUGCUGGUGAAAGUGGGGACAUGUCAGCUGGUUGCCAUGGCUACAGUUAUCUUUAUGCAUCUGUAUGACUGCUGACUGGUGUGUGUUUCCUGUGACCUUUGACCUCAGACCGUACGGUUGGGCGUUCAGACGACGACUAACUUUAAUUCCAUCAAGGUAAGAGGAAGCUCUUCCCUUCCUGUCUGAGCGAUCCGUCUCCAGGUUUCCUUGUCCGGCGUCCAGCCCGCUGGCAUCCACCUUCAUCUCACCUUCAUCUCAUCUCACUUCAUUUAUAGUGCAAUACUUUCACAUUAUCAUUUUCCCACACUUCUGUAUACCUGUAUUUUGUUGUUUUUCAAUAAAGAAUGACAAAUUA
Nothobranchius furzeri (turquoise killifish) is the source of this 1479-nucleotide non-coding RNA. Lineage: Eukaryota; Metazoa; Chordata; Actinopteri; Cyprinodontiformes; Nothobranchiidae. The record is from RefSeq and is a predicted model, not a curated record.